RNAcentral lists this transfer RNA (88 nucleotides) under Nitrososphaera viennensis EN76. Its description in RNAcentral is "tRNA-Leu (TAG) (tRNA-Leu-TAG-1-1)". It matches the Rfam family "tRNA". From Rfam's summary of the family: Transfer RNA (tRNA) molecules are approximately 80 nucleotides in length. Their secondary structure includes four short double-helical elements and three loops (D, anti-codon, and T loops). The record is from RNAcentral. RNAcentral also lists the same sequence under 3 other names. Lineage: Archaea; Thermoproteati; Nitrososphaerota; Nitrososphaeria; Nitrososphaerales; Nitrososphaeraceae.
GCGGGGGUCGCCAAGCCCGGUCAACGGCGCAGGGCUUAGAACCCUGUUCCUUAGGGAUUCGUGGGUUCAAAUCCCACCCCCCGCACCA